This is a long non-coding RNA of Penaeus monodon (black tiger shrimp), 442 nucleotides long. RefSeq lists it as uncharacterized. Lineage: Eukaryota; Metazoa; Arthropoda; Malacostraca; Decapoda; Penaeidae. The record is from RefSeq and is a predicted model, not a curated record. The transcript has 2 exons.
GCAAAGGCAGCUCUUGGUCUGCGAACUCGUUGAAAAAUCGGCUUCUACAAAGAAAAAAAAUCCAUUGAUUUUCUUAAGUGGAUUCGUGCGUGCCCCGACCCGGAUUUAUGACCUGCCUCCAGAUCCUUAGAAUAAUAAUGGGGGAACCUACUUGACGCAACGCACCGUUAAAUACAGGCGGAGGGAGUGGGUGUCACAGGUCAUAAGACUAGAUGUUCUUACAAACCACGGACUUAUUCGACCGUUCAUGCAACUGUCCGUGCACUUCACCCACAAAUAAACAGAGAUGAACAUAACAGAUGAGCACCGUGACUACCGACACCAGUUCACCUGUCUUGUACACCCAUCAGGCGAGAUGCCAAGACGUCUGCACGGAUGAUCGAAUCCGACCAUAGCAAUAGUUUUCUCCGACAUUAAAUCGCUUAUCAGUGUGACAAGUAAA